AAACAACUCUCAGCAACGGAUAUCUUGGCUCUUGCAUCGAUGAAGAACGCAGCGAAAUGCGAUACGUAGUGUGAAUUGCAGAAUUCCGCGAAUCAUCGAGUCUUUGAACGCAAGUUGCGCCCGAGGCUUGACCAAGGGCAUUUCUGCCAGAGCGUCAC
RNAcentral lists this ribosomal RNA (158 nucleotides) under Syntrichia sarconeurum. RNAcentral's name for it is "5.8S ribosomal RNA". It matches the Rfam family "5.8S ribosomal RNA". From Rfam's summary of the family: 5.8S ribosomal RNA (5.8S rRNA) is a component of the large subunit of the eukaryotic ribosome. It is transcribed by RNA polymerase I as part of the 45S precursor that also contains 18S and 28S rRNA. The record is from RNAcentral. Lineage: Eukaryota; Viridiplantae; Streptophyta; Bryopsida; Pottiales; Pottiaceae.